GAUGAACGCUGGCGGCGUGCCUAAUACAUGCAAGUCGAGCGAACAGACGAGGAGCUUGCUCCUCUGACGUUAGCGGCGGACGGGUGAGUAACACGUGGAUAACCUACCUAUAAGACUGGGAUAACUUCGGGAAACCGGAGCUAAUACCGGAUAAUAUAUUGAACCGCAUGGUUCAAUAGUGAAAGACGGUUUUGCUGUCACUUAUAGAUGGAUCCGCGCCGCAUUAGCUAGUUGGUAAGGUAACGGCUUACCAAGGCAACGAUGCGUAGCCGACCUGAGAGGGUGAGCGGCCACAAUGGAACUGAGACACGGUCCAGACUCCUACGGGAGGCAGCAGUAGGGAAUCUUCCGCAAUGGGCGAAAGCCUGACGGAGCAACGCCGCGUGAGUGAUGAAGGUCUUCGGAUCGUAAAACUCUGUUAUUAGGGAAGAACAAAUGUGUAAGUAACUAUGCACGUCUUGACGGUACCUAAUCAGAAAGCCACGGCUAACUACGU
This 496-nucleotide ribosomal RNA is filed under the name uncultured bacterium. RNAcentral's name for it is "partial 16S ribosomal RNA". It matches the Rfam family "Bacterial small subunit ribosomal RNA", at positions 28 to 506 of the family's 1533-position model. The record is from RNAcentral.